This 366-nucleotide ribosomal RNA is filed under the name Triticum aestivum (bread wheat). RNAcentral describes it as "partial small subunit ribosomal RNA". Lineage: Eukaryota; Viridiplantae; Streptophyta; Magnoliopsida; Poales; Poaceae. The record is from RNAcentral.
AUGAGCUCCGAUGGGGUCCCCGCCCAUGGCCGUCGGGAUUGCAUCAUGGCCGCCAGUGGGCCCCCCAGCGCGCGGUCAACGGCGGAUUGCAGCUCGAAUCCCCCUGCUGGUUCCAGCUCGCGGUUCGCCAUGGAUGCAGCAUGCCCCCGACGUCAUCGCCGCUGGCUCGCCGUGGCCGUUGGCUUGCAACGUUGUGUCCAAGAAGAAAAUUCUGAAAAACAAACAAAAUCCUCGAGUGGUCGGUUGAAGCAAAAUAUUAUUAGGUUCCAGCAAAACAAAGCUCCAGUUCCAGCAAAAAUAAUUUCGGUAGGAAAAAAAGCUCCAGUGGUUGUAGCAAAAAAAUACCAGCUUCCAGCAAAAACAUAA